RNAcentral lists this ribosomal RNA (406 nucleotides) under uncultured bacterium. RNAcentral's name for it is "partial 16S ribosomal RNA". It matches the Rfam family "Bacterial small subunit ribosomal RNA", at positions 30 to 526 of the family's 1533-position model. The record is from RNAcentral.
AUUGAACGCUGGCGGCAGGCCUAACACAUGCAAGUCGAACGAGUGGCGGACGGGUGAGUAAUGUCUGGGAAACUGCCAGAUGGAGGGGGAUAACUACUGGAAACGGUAGCUAAUACCGCAUACCAUCGGAUGUGCCCAGAUGGGAUUAGCUAGGAGGUGGGGUAACGGCUCACCUAGGCGACGAUCCCUAGCUGGUCUGAGAGGAUGACCAGACACACGGGAACUGAGACCCGGUACAGACUCGUACGUGAGUCAGCAGGGGGGAAUAUUGCACAAUGGGCGCAAGCCUUAUGCAGCCAUGCCGCGUGUAUGAAGAAGGCCUGCGGGUUGUAAAGUACUUUCAGCGAGGAGGCGUUACUCGCAGAAGAAGCACCGGCUAACUCCGUGCCAGCAGCCGCGGUAAUUC